RNAcentral lists this ribosomal RNA (363 nucleotides) under uncultured bacterium. RNAcentral describes it as "partial 16S ribosomal RNA". It matches the Rfam family "Bacterial small subunit ribosomal RNA", at positions 338 to 697 of the family's 1533-position model. The record is from RNAcentral.
CCUAUGGGGGGCAGCAGUGAGGAAUAUUGGUCAAUGGACGCAAGUCUGAACCAGCCAUGCCGCGUGCAGGAAGACGGCUCUAUGAGUUGUAAAUUGCUUUUGUACGAGGGGAAACGCAGAUAUGCGUAUCUGUCUGAAAGUAUCGUACGAAUAAGGAACGGCUAACACCGCGCCAGCAGCCGCGGCAAUACGGAGGAUUCAAGCGUUACCUGGAUUUAUUGGGGUUAAAGGGUGAGUAGGCUGUGAGGUAAGUCAGCGGGGAAAUGCCCCCGCUCAACGGGGUGAAGUGCCAUUGAUACUGGCUAGCUAGAGUGCGGAUGCGGUGGGAGGAAUGUGAGGUGUAGCGGUGAAAUGCAUAGAGAU